Molecule: long non-coding RNA, 919 nt
Organism: Perca flavescens (yellow perch)
Lineage: Eukaryota; Metazoa; Chordata; Actinopteri; Perciformes; Percidae
Exons: 4
Source: RefSeq, a predicted model, not a curated record
GCGGGUCAUGCCUUUGCCAUCCUAGGAAAAGAAACAUCGCUUUCAGGACCGUGUUAGCGUGACACCGAUUGCGCUUAAGGACAAUACGAUGGGGAAGCAGCACCUGCAGCUACUUCCUGCUCACUGUCAGCUUAACCAUGUGGUUUCCGCUGCCUUCCACCAACAGUACAGAGAGACAGACAGAGAAAGACAGAGGAAGAAAAAAAAGAGACGAGACUGAGUGGAGAGAGAAGAGAGGAGGGCCUGGACACUCAACAGUAACUCCUGACACAAGACCUCACCACUGCAGCUGGCACAACUCAGACUUUCCACCACCGUGCAAGCCUCAUAAACUCAAGGCGAGCAACAGAGAGAGGGAGAAGGAAAGGGCCCGAGACUCUGGAUUGAAAUGUGCCAAAUCAGCUGGAAGAGACGACACCAGCCGCUGUGACUCAGGCAGGAUGCCAACAACGAUCAGGGCACACCCAAGCUAUGCCAAACUUUCUCUUGAGCCGCUUGCAAAACCAAUUCAGCAACACUUCCCUUGUGAUUACACCAGAUGCUGACUCUGUGUUGAGAGAAGAUUGAUUAGACUCUAGCUGACAUGCAGACGGCAUAGCUAGGAACUUUUAGAGGCUUAAAGAGAGCUUAGAAGUAGCUCAAAAGGGCAGAAUCACAAGUUAAGUGUGCCGUACCCAACCAUCAGUGGAACUUGAUACCCUUAUUGAUAUGUCUCUAAUGAAAGAUGUUGAGUGACAAUAACAGACAGUGGCGAGUUUAGACCCUUUUUAGGGGGCGCUCAAGUUCAUCCCCUAAAAUUAUUAUUAUUUAAAAAAAAGUGCUUCAAGUGAGAGAUUGGGAACUUGUCUGUUAGCGACAGAGGGCAAACAAUUACAGCUUUAAUAUCCUGUGUCGCUGUUGCCAAUACAAUGCGCCUGUA